AGUGUAGGACCAUUUGGAAAAGUCCAUGGAUGACUAACAAAUGUACAGAAGAAAAGACAUCUUUCACUGACCUUACAGCCUUCACAUGUGAUGACUCCAUAGUGGAUGCCUGAUGACUUGUCUCCACAGAUUUUGCAUGACAGAAGCACUGUUGACGCAAACACACACCUGACUUGAGACCGCAGUAUGAAGCUCAGAGGUUUGGAAGUGUGAGUGCAUAUCUAGUUAUGUGUGUGUGUGUGCGCGCUGCUAAUCUGACUGUGAGAAUAUAACUCAGAGAGACUGACUAGUCUAUGUAUUACAUGUUGGCCAGUUUGUAUCUUGUAUUCAUACUGUGAAUAAUAUACACGUUUCAUGACUGAAUAUGUACUUUUGUGCAAAAUAUAUUU
Molecule: long non-coding RNA, 389 nt
Organism: Rhinichthys klamathensis goyatoka
Lineage: Eukaryota; Metazoa; Chordata; Actinopteri; Cypriniformes; Leuciscidae
Exons: 2
Source: RefSeq, a predicted model, not a curated record